UCACACCUUAGAGUAUCAAGGGCACUCUUAAGAACCUCUAACUUUUGCGGGUAAGUUAACACCUUAGAGUAUUAAGGAACUCUUAAAAACCUCUCUAAGCUUUAAGGCUACUUCGCUUAGGAACCAGUCUUUUACAGGUAGACUCACACCUUAGAGUAUCAAGGGCACUCUUAAGAACCUUUAACUUUUACGGGUAAGUUAGUACCUUAGAGUAUCAAGAAACUCUUAAAAACCUAGAAAUCUUUCAAGGUAGAUUCGACCUAAGAGUUUUCCCGGAAACUCUAUAAAACCAAACUAGAGCUUUAUGGUUGAGCUCGAAAACCUUCUCUCACACUUUGGUACUAUUGAGACAACCCUCUCAACCAAAGUGGACACACACAAGAGGUGAUUAGAGGAGUGGAAUAUUAAAGCAAACAACACUUCUUACUUGUAAAGAUGAACAAGAAGAUUAGAAGAAGAAGUUGGAGAGCUUUUGAAGCUUUGGAAGCUAAGACACUUGAGCACUUGAAAGCUUG
RNAcentral lists this long non-coding RNA (515 nucleotides) under Zostera marina. RNAcentral describes it as "long non-coding RNA (ZMAR_LNC001090)". The record is from RNAcentral. Lineage: Eukaryota; Viridiplantae; Streptophyta; Magnoliopsida; Alismatales; Zosteraceae.